Long non-coding RNA from Gallus gallus (chicken), 248 nucleotides. RefSeq lists it as uncharacterized. The record is from RefSeq and is a predicted model, not a curated record. The transcript is spliced from 3 exons. Lineage: Eukaryota; Metazoa; Chordata; Aves; Galliformes; Phasianidae.
AGUCUGUCGGCAGCUCCCGUCGGCUGCGGAUGGUGCGGAGCCCUCCUCCGGUGUCAGGGUAUCUUGUUCUCUGUGGCAGCAUGGCAUUCUUCAGUUUGUCAGGUGAAGCGGGAGUGCUGUCUGUUGGUUUGUAGUUUCAGCAGGUUUGGAGUGGAGUUCCUUCCUGUGCUGGCUGAGGUCUGUGCUUUCCUGGAUUUUAGUUGUGUGUUCUAUAUGAGCAAUAUUGGGCUUUUUUUUUUUAAUUUUUG